RNAcentral lists this unclassified non-coding RNA (331 nucleotides) under Hevea brasiliensis (rubber tree). Lineage: Eukaryota; Viridiplantae; Streptophyta; Magnoliopsida; Malpighiales; Euphorbiaceae. The record is from RNAcentral.
GCAUUCAGUUUAGGGCUACAUCUUCAGAAGUCACGUUUACUAAAUAAUUUUUCACUGCUCCUAGCAUCAUCCUAAGUCUGCCUCUUACUUUCUUUUUUACUGCAACUUCAACAUGCCCAACUUUUCUCACUAGUGCAAUUGCUACUCUAUGCAUGUCCAAUCAUCUCAAUAUCCUAUCUCAACUUUUCCUCAAUGAAUGCCACUUCUACCUUCCUACGAAUGCAUUCAUUGCUUAUCCAAUCCUUGUAUUUCUGCGUAUCGAUCUUAGCAUUCCCAUCUUUGCUACAUUAAUCUUGUGUACGGGUUUUUUUCAUUAAUCGACACUCAUUGU